RNAcentral lists this long non-coding RNA (745 nucleotides) under Mytilus galloprovincialis (Mediterranean mussel). Lineage: Eukaryota; Metazoa; Mollusca; Bivalvia; Mytilida; Mytilidae. The record is from RNAcentral.
AUGAGGUCACGGUCAAAUAAAACCUGCGCGACUGACAUAAAGAUCAUUAAAUAUUUCCAUACACCAAAUAUAGUUGACCUAUGGCAUAUAGUAUUAGAUAAAAAGACCAAAACUCAAAAACUUAACUUUGACCACUGAACCAUGAAAAUGAGGUCAAGGUCACAUGACAUCUGCCCGCUAGACAUGUACACCUUACAAUCAUUCCAUACAACAAAUAUAGUAGACCUAUUGCAUAUAGUAUGAGAACAACAGACCAAAACACAAAAUUUAACUAUAACCACUGAACCAUGAAAAUGAGGUCAAGGUCAGAUGACACCUGCCAGUUGGACAUGUACACCUUACAGUCCUUCCAUACACCGAAUAUACUAGCCCUAUUGCUUAUAGUAUCUGAGAUAUGGACUUGACCACCAAAACUUAACCUUGUUCACUGAUCCAUGAAAUGAGGUCGAGGUCAAGUGAAAACUGUCUGACAGACAUGAGGACCUUGCAAGGUACGCACAUAUCAAAUAUAGUUAUCUUAUUACUUAUAAUAAGAGAGAAUUCAACAUUACAAAAAAUUUGAACUUUUUUUUCAAGUGGUCACUGAACCAUGAAAAUGAGGUCAAGGACAUUGGACAUGUGACUGACGGAAACUUCGUAACAUGAGGCAUCUAUAUACAAAGUAUGAAGCAUCCAGGUCUUCCACCUUCUAAAAUAUAAAGCUUUUAAGAAGUUAGCUAACGCCGCCGCCGCCGCCGCCGCCGCC